GCGGAUGUGGCGGAAUUGGCAGACGCGCAGGCUUCAGGUGCCUGUUCCCUUACGGGAGUGGAGGUUCGACUCCUCUCAUCCGCA
This is a non-coding RNA of Planctomycetes bacterium RBG_16_55_9, 84 nucleotides long. Lineage: Bacteria; Pseudomonadati; Planctomycetota. The record is from Rfam.